AGAGUUUGAUCCUGGCUCAGGAUGAACGCUGGCGGUAUGCUUAACACAUGCAAGUCGAACGGAAUCCUUAGGGAUUUAGUGGCGGACGGGUGAGUAACGCGUGAGAAUCUGCCUUCAGGUUCGGGACAACCACUGGAAACGGUGGCUAAUACCGAAUGUGCAGCGAUGUGAAAAAUUUAUUGCCUGGAGAUGAGCUCGCGUCUGAUUAGCUAGUAGGUGUGGUAAGAGCGCACCUAGGCGACGAUCAGUAGCUGGUCUGAGAGGAUGAUCAGCCACACUGGGACUGAGACACGGCCCAGACUCCUACGGGAGGCAGCAGUGGGGAAUUUUCCGCAAUGGGCGAAAGCCUGACGGAGCAAUACCGCGUGAGGGAGGAAGGCUCUUGGGUUGUAAACCUCUUUUCUCAAGGAAGAAAAAAAUGACGGUACUUGAGGAAUAAGCAUCGGCUAACUCCGUGCCAGCAGCCGCGGUAAUACGGAGGAUGCAAGCGUUAUCCGGAAUGAUUGGGCGUAAAGCGUCCGCAGGUGGCUAUGUAAGUCUGCUGUUAAAGAGUCUGGCUCAACCAGAUAAAGGCAGUGGAAACUACAUGGCUAGAGUGCGUUCGGGGCAGAGGGAAUUCCUGGUGUAGCGGUGAAAUGCGUAGAGAUCAGGAAGAACACCGGUGGCGAAAGCGCUCUGCUAGGCCGCAACUGACACUGAGGGACGAAAGCUAGGGGAGCGAA
RNAcentral lists this ribosomal RNA (722 nucleotides) under Tolypothrix sp. JCT-1. RNAcentral describes it as "bacterial SSU rRNA". It matches the Rfam family "Bacterial small subunit ribosomal RNA", at positions 8 to 772 of the family's 1533-position model. The record is from RNAcentral. Lineage: Bacteria; Bacillati; Cyanobacteriota; Cyanophyceae; Nostocales; Tolypothrichaceae.